This 23-nucleotide non-coding RNA is filed under the name Pteropus alecto (black flying fox). Its record names the gene pal-miR-21-3p. The record is from miRBase by way of RNAcentral. Lineage: Eukaryota; Metazoa; Chordata; Mammalia; Chiroptera; Pteropodidae. RNAcentral also lists the same sequence under 1 other name.
CAACAGCAGUCGAUGGGCUGUCU